This 253-nucleotide ribosomal RNA is filed under the name uncultured bacterium. RNAcentral describes it as "partial 16S ribosomal RNA". It matches the Rfam family "Bacterial small subunit ribosomal RNA", at positions 524 to 776 of the family's 1533-position model. The record is from RNAcentral.
UACGAAGGGGGCUAGCGUUGCUCGGAAUCACUGGGCGUAAAGCGCACGUAGGCGGAUUGCUAAGUCAGGGGUGAAAUCCUGGAGCUCAACUCCAGAACUGCCCUUGAUACUGGCGGUCUCGAGUCCGGGAGAGGUGAGUGGAACUGCGAGUGUAGAGGUGAAAUUCGUAGAUAUUCGCAGGAACACCAGUGGCGAAGGCGGCUCACUGGCCCCGUACUGACGCUGAGGUGCGAAAGCGUGGGGAGCAAACAGG